CGGUCGUUGGUCAGGCGAGGAGGUCGUUCCGAGGAUUGCGAAGACAACAGGCGUUCCCUCACACUCAUGCUCACCGUUUCGCACGCACCUUCCGCCACACCUGUGGGCUGCGUGUGGGUGCCCAUGUUGAGCAGGUCCCCGUCAGUGUCUCCUCUGUUCCCCGUGUUGUUGCCUCUCCAUCGUUCCUUCGAUUCCGCGCGCACGCCGCUCCACCUCUUGCCCCUGUGAGGGUGUAACCCAGCCAUAUAUUGUUGUGUUGUCUAUCCCCUCCCGGAAGAGCGACUGAUUGUCACAUGCUAAAUACGUGAUUCAUAGCUAUCCUUAGACUACUGUACAAUACGCCAGGCAGACCCCCAGCGGGAAACCGUGAAGCAACACCUAACUCCUUGGAGGAGCAGCCUCACUCCAACAUCAUUGCUCCAUAAAUAAAGGAAUUAAGCCCU
Molecule: long non-coding RNA, 443 nt
Organism: Penaeus monodon (black tiger shrimp)
Lineage: Eukaryota; Metazoa; Arthropoda; Malacostraca; Decapoda; Penaeidae
Exons: 3
Source: RefSeq, a predicted model, not a curated record